UGAUCUUUUCAUAAUAAUUUAUUAAAGAAAUUGCAAAUACACAUUGUGGUAUUACAUUUUGUGACAAUAUCGUUGCCACUUAUAAACACUGUUUUAAACAGGUAUCAGAUAGUUUAAAUGGCAAGUAUCAGAAAACAUAAAUGAUAGAGACAAGGCAUGUUUUCACAAGGAACAGGCAUUUUAAGGCAGAUUAUUCGGCACAGUCACGAGUCUCUUCUCAUCACAGUCCAUAUGGACCAGUAUAUAUACACCUAUAAGGUGUCAAUUGAAAGUCAGACAUUCGAUAGAAUGCGUAGUCACAGUCCGGGAGAGCGUUGUGUGUCCCUGUUUCUUUGUUCAGGACAACAGCCCUCAAUAUUCCCGUCAUUCUCCUUCCAGCAUGUCGAAUCCAAAGGAAUUCACGCAUGCCGUCAUUAGGCCAACGCAUGAAGCGCAUCAUCACGGAAUAGUCACACUGUGUUGUCUUGAAUCGAGGUUACGUCCAUUCCAGGACGUUCCUUCUCCUUGCUCAGUGACAGGUCGGCAUCACCUGGCCAACCGUCACCGCGACACUGUAGUGCACUUUGAUUCAACUCGUUCAUCAGAGCUGAGAGAGAACGUUCAACGAAGUUUCAACAUGUGGCGCACGACACCCACGAUCUGGAGGAACUUGUCCUUCUUUCGCUGUUUAAGCGCCAUCAGUGCUUUGGCCAUCUCCGAUGGGUCUUGAGUGAAGGAGAAAAUGCUCCUCACCCUCUCUUCAGCUUUCAUGUCCCCGGUUUUCUGGAACAGCCUCAUAACCGCGUCCUGGUUAACGUUUUCGAAUAUGUUGGGCACUGCCUUCUUGCGGUGCGCUGUGUCGAAUUUGUUCCCAUGGACCGAUGGGCUGACUCGACGGGAAUCGGAAGAUACAAUGUAGGUAGACAUCUCGCUGACUCUGUUGUAGCGCCUGUGACACCUUUGGCGUUGUAGCCGAGAAGAGCAAGACGAACUAGAAUGCUAGAGAUUAGUGAGUGAGCACUGAGAGCGAUGCCGGCGCUAUUUAUAAGGGCUUUUCAUGCUGGCAAACACCAACCCCUGUCACAAAUGUGAC
Molecule: long non-coding RNA, 1072 nt
Organism: Esox lucius (northern pike)
Lineage: Eukaryota; Metazoa; Chordata; Actinopteri; Esociformes; Esocidae
Source: Ensembl